Molecule: long non-coding RNA, 883 nt
Filed under: Sorghum bicolor (sorghum)
Lineage: Eukaryota; Viridiplantae; Streptophyta; Magnoliopsida; Poales; Poaceae
Description: long non-coding RNA (SBIC_LNC011394)
Source: RNAcentral
GGGAACCGGGUGAAACGAAGUGAAACCAGCGCUGUGGCAUUUCAUUUCAUCCCUGAUCCCGUGCGGGCGGGAUCCGCGCCGUCCUCGUCGUCUUCGCGCGCGCAAGCUGAAUCUCCCGCUCCCCGUCCCUUCCAUGCCACCGUAUCCAGCCCCGUUGCCGCCCAGAGAGUACUCCAUUCUCGCGCGUGAAGAAUACGGCGCCGCCGGUCGAAGGGGCCCGCCGUCGGCCGCUCCCCGUCGUUGCGACCCGCCGCCGGCCGAAGGGGACCCGCCACCGUCGUUGCGACCCGCCGUCGGCCGCUCCCCGUCGUUGCGACCCCAUCCUUGCGGCCGUCCGCCAUGGAUCCGCCGGGAAACCUCAGCGGCCUGGGAUCCUCACCGCCCGGGGAUCCUCAGAGGCCUCGCGGUGGAGGGAAGGCGCCGCCGGUAGGGGACGGUCCUCGGCGACCCGCGCCUCGCAGUGGAGGGAAGGCGCCGCCGCCCGCCAUAUUUGGAAUAAGUUUGGUGGUCAUGCACGUAGAACUGGAGUUUGAGAUAUAAUACAUGUAAUUGUUUUAUAUUUUUGUAUCAUUUAUUUAUAUAUAUGGAUGGUAUGUCUGAAUGCCCAUUAUCAAUUACUUUGGUUUCUGCAGGGUGCCAUUGUGGAAGUGAUCUCUGGUUUCUGCAGGGUGCGGAGCAAGGUUAGUGCUGGGAACCUGAUCACUGUCAAUGAACCUGAUAGCACUAUGGUUGGUUUCUGAAGGGUGCUCGAUCAUGUCAAUGAACAAACUAUUUUUUUGUCUGUACAGGAUGAAGCAACGAUGUCCAUCCAAUGUGUUCUAGUUUAUGGGUUCAACUGAAGGCUAUCGGCUGCACUACUAUCGUUGCUUUUUUUUUAUUUCGA